GAUGAACGCUGGCGGCGUGCCUAAUACAUGCAAGUCGAGCGAUGCGGGGGGAGGGGAGUAACACGUGGAUAAACUCCGAUACGACUGGGAUAAAGUCGGGAAACCCGAGCUAAAGCUGAUAUUUAGAGAUGGAUUCGCGCUGCAUUAGCUAGUUGGUAAGGUAACGGCUGACCAAGGCAACGAUGCAUAGCCGACCUGAGAGGGUGAUCGGCCACACUGGGACUGAGACACGGUCCAGACUCCUACGGGAGGCAGCAGUAGGGAAUCUUCCGCAAUGGACGAAAGCCUGACAGAGCAACGCCGCGUGAGUGAAGAAGGUCUUCGGAUCGUAAAACUCUGUUAUUAGGGAAGCGGUACCUAACCAGAAAGCCACGGCUAACUACGUGCCAGCAGCCGCGGUAAUAC
Molecule: ribosomal RNA, 405 nt
Filed under: uncultured bacterium
Lineage: Bacteria
Description: partial 16S ribosomal RNA
Rfam family: Bacterial small subunit ribosomal RNA
Source: RNAcentral